Pelobates cultripes (western spadefoot toad) is the source of this 471-nucleotide non-coding RNA. NCBI's taxonomy places the organism in Eukaryota, Metazoa, Chordata, Amphibia, Anura, Pelobatidae. The record is from the annotation of a GenBank genome assembly.
CUAUAGCCUGUUACGUAAUUUUAUUGUUUCGAAAGUUCUGGACAGAGCUAGCAGAUGUUAAUACUUAAAUUAAGUCAUUUUUGGAUUAAAGUUGUGGCUACGUGCAUACACGUUUGUGCAUCUAUACUGGGGAUGGCUGAACUCUGGAUCUGUAACUACGCUGUACUAUAAUUCCUUCGGCAGUUUUUUAGACAUUUGGCCCAUCACAGGAGCAUGUCAAGUGGCUACACAUAUAAGUAUAUGGAUACAUUUAAUGCUGUGAAUAUUUUCCAAAAGCAUCUGAAAUUUCAUAAAGGUUCCAGAAAAUUAAAGGGUAUCUCCAAAAACAUGCAAAAACCACAGCUCGUUUUAUUAGUUGUGGUAGUAAGAGGUACUUUGUCCUGGCCUCCUUGCACAUCGUUUGUGUAUAACUGCAGCUAUAAGACUUCCACUUUCCCCUGUGAUGUUAAAAGAGGGACUCGUGCUUCUUCG